GACUGACUGAGCCAGCCAGGUGCCCCUGAAAUAUGAUUUUCAUUGCCCUGUAGUAUUCUGUGGUAUGAAUCUGUCAUUGUAUCCUUGCCCAAUCCCUUAUGUUAUUUUAUACGUACUUUAUCACUCAAACUGAUGGUGGUUUUCUCAGGAUAAAGCCCAGCAAUGAUAUUGCUGCAUCAAAGAGCACACUCAUCCUCCAGACCUUAUUAUUACCCAAUCUCCUCCGGGAAGGCUGGUCCCAAAGCACACGACCUCCAUCUCUGUGUGAGAAUCCUCACUGGGGCAUUAUCAUUUCUUUGAAUCAUUGCGAAUUCUAUGGCAGUGAAAGAUAGAUUUGUAUGUUCAUUCUAGUUUAUACUUCCAAAUAAGAGUAGGGGUGAAUACCUCUUCACAUCGCAUCUCCUUUCCUGAUUUAUCACAGGAAUCAUAAUAUAAGAAAUGCCUGUUUCUUGGAGUAAAUGCAUUUCCCAGCCCAAGGUACUAUAUUAAGGUAUUACAGAUAAUAAAAGUAACAGCGCCUUGUUAUAAAUUCUGGGUGAAGGCCAAUGGUCUCUCGGUGUUUCUUCUUAAUUGAUAAAAUUCAGUUGUCCGUCUUUUAGCUCAGAAUCUUAAAAUGCUUUCCAGAUCCCAGGUAAACUUGUUAAAACACUUUUUAGGUACUUGUUUGUAGGAGUUCUAAUCUGCCUCAGCAACUCCUGACCCUCCAGCCUCACCUCCAGUCUGGGAGUGAUGAGAGCAAACCAGUCUGAACUCAGGUUGACUGGGGAGUGUGACACCCUCUUCCCCGAUCCUUUCCCUUUGCCACAAGCUCUGACUAAAGCAUGCCUGAGACUGUCAACUGAACAAAAUGUGCCCUCGAGAAAAAGAACACACUAGCAAAAUGCAGUACUUCCAUCACGUGCAGAAAACUGGAAUCCGCUUCAGACCGUGCCCGCGGCGGCGGCGGUCAGGCCUCCCGCGGAUCCGGCUGAUAGCACACUUCCUGCUUCAGGGACUGUGUUCUUUUGUGUGGCUUCUCUGAGCCCACCGCCUGGAUAAAUCUGCUGCUUUCUACCCAGAUGCUGUUGCUUCACUUGGAAACAAUUAUCUCCUUCUCCACAUGCACCCUGUUCCCUUCACCCACAUCCCUUAUCAUGCCAUGAUAAUCACACACUGAAGCAGAUGUAAAAGGCACAAAUGGAGCAUUUGCUUGCCAACUCGAGAGCCUUGUGUCAUUGCACACAGAGAAGAAAGUGAGGAGGAGCCCUAUCUGCCAUCGCAGGACUCACACUGGAACAUGUACCCAUUAAAGAACAAUUGAGUGGA
Herpailurus yagouaroundi (jaguarundi) is the source of this 1305-nucleotide long non-coding RNA. RefSeq lists it as uncharacterized. The transcript has 2 exons. The record is from RefSeq and is a predicted model, not a curated record. NCBI's taxonomy places the organism in Eukaryota, Metazoa, Chordata, Mammalia, Carnivora, Felidae.